Molecule: long non-coding RNA, 210 nt
Filed under: Lathyrus oleraceus (garden pea)
Lineage: Eukaryota; Viridiplantae; Streptophyta; Magnoliopsida; Fabales; Fabaceae
Description: Pisum sativum (pea) long non-coding RNA (PSAT_LNC002092)
Source: RNAcentral
UCUAUCACUACCCACUACAUGUUAUCCCAUAAUACCCAUUAAUCGACGAUAAACCCCCCUUACCUGAGUUAAUCCGGCGAAUCUUUAAGCUUCAAGCUUUUCUCUUCUCCAACCUUCUUCCUCUUGCUCUGUCUCUUUGCCCUUUUCCUCUUUUCAGCCGCUUCUCUGCUUUUCACGUAAAACCCUUUCUUUACCAAAUGGGACUCUUUU